RNAcentral lists this transfer RNA (65 nucleotides) under Hemisus marmoratus (mottled shovel-nosed frog). RNAcentral's name for it is "tRNA-Cys". Lineage: Eukaryota; Metazoa; Chordata; Amphibia; Anura; Hemisotidae. The record is from RNAcentral.
AGUCCAAUGGUGUUACCAUGUGGGGUUGCAAACCCCGAGAGGCAGGCGGGAGCCUGCUUGGACUU